ACGCUGGCGGCAGGCCUAACACAUGCAAGUCGAGCGCGCCUUCGGGCGAGCGGCGGACGGGUUAGUAACGCGUGGGAACGUGCCCAGAUCUACGGAAUAGCCACUGGAAACGGUGAGUAAUACCGUAUACGCCCUUCGGGGGAAAGAUUUAUCGGAUUUGGAUCGGCCCGCGUUAGAUUAGGUAGUUGGUGGGGUAACGGCCUACCAAGCCUACGAUCUAUAGCUGGUUUUAGAGGAUGAUCAGCAACACUGGGACUGAGACACGGCCCAGACUCCUACGGGAGGCAGCAGUGGGGAAUCUUGGACAAUGGGGGCAACCCUGAUCCAGCCAUGCCGCGUGAGUGAAGAAGGCCCUAGGGUCGUAAAACUCUUUCGCCUGUGAUGAUAAUGACAGUAGCAGGUAAAGAAACCCCGGCUAACUCCGUGCCAGCAGCCGCGGUAAUACGGAGGGGGUUAGCGUUGUUCGGAAUUACUGGGCGUAAAGCGCACGUAGGCGGAUUAGAAAGUUAGAGGUGAAAUCCCGGGGCUCAACCCCGGAACUGCCUUUAAAACUACUAGUCUAGAGUUCGAGAGAGGUGAGUGGAAUUCCGAGUGUAGAGGUGAAAUUCGUAGAUAUUCGGAGGAACACCAGUGGCGAAGGCGGCUCACUGGCUCGAUACUGACGCUGAGGUGCGAAAGUGUGGGGAGCAAACAGGAUUAGAUACCCUGGUAGUCCACACCGUAAACGAUGAAUGCCAGUCGUCGGGUAGUAUACUAUUCGGUGACACACCUAACGGAUUAAGCAUUCCGCCUGGGGAGUACGGUCG
RNAcentral lists this ribosomal RNA (806 nucleotides) under uncultured Paracoccaceae bacterium. RNAcentral's name for it is "bacterial SSU rRNA". It matches the Rfam family "Bacterial small subunit ribosomal RNA", at positions 33 to 888 of the family's 1533-position model. The record is from RNAcentral. Lineage: Bacteria; Pseudomonadati; Pseudomonadota; Alphaproteobacteria; Rhodobacterales; Paracoccaceae.